Molecule: transfer RNA, 72 nt
Filed under: Ostreococcus tauri
Lineage: Eukaryota; Viridiplantae; Chlorophyta; Mamiellophyceae; Mamiellales; Bathycoccaceae
Rfam family: tRNA
About the family: Transfer RNA (tRNA) molecules are approximately 80 nucleotides in length. Their secondary structure includes four short double-helical elements and three loops (D, anti-codon, and T loops).
Source: Rfam by way of RNAcentral
GCUCGAUUGGCCAAGUGGUAAGGCGUCUCUUUAGUAAGGAGAAGAUCAGGAGUUCGAACCUCCUAUCGAGCA